AUACUAACCUGGCAGGAGAGAUACCGUGAUCAAGCAGGUGGUUUUCCCAGGGCGAGGCUCACCCAGUGCAUUUGGGUGUGUUGACCCCUGUGAUUUACCCAAAUUCGGGAAACUCGACUGCAUAAUUUGUGGUAGUGGGGGACUGCGUUUGUGCUCUCCAA
This is a small nuclear RNA of Peromyscus leucopus (white-footed mouse), 161 nucleotides long. RefSeq annotates it as U1 spliceosomal RNA. Lineage: Eukaryota; Metazoa; Chordata; Mammalia; Rodentia; Cricetidae. The transcript has a single exon. The record is from RefSeq and is a predicted model, not a curated record.